CGCAGCUAUCUGCAGUCGAGGGGCAGCAGGGUUGUAGCAAUACAAUCGCUGGCGACCGGCAAACGGGUGCGGAACACGUACGCAACCUUCCUUCAAAUGAGGAAUAGCCUUUCGAAAGAGAGAUUAAUACCUCGUAACAUUUUCUGGUGGCAUCACUGGAUUAUUAUAGCUCCGGCGUUUGAAGAUGGGCGUGCGCCUGAUUAGGUAGUUGGCGGAGUAAUAGCCCACCAAGCCUACGAUCAGUAACUGGUGUGAGAGCACGACCAGUCACACGGGCACUGAGACACGGGCCCGACUCCUACGGGAGGCAGCAGUAAGGAAUAUUGGUCAAUGGACGCAAGUCUGAACCAGCCAUGCCGCGUGGAGGAUGAAGGUCCUCUGGAUUGUAAACUUCUUUUAUCGGAGAAGAAACCCUUGCAUUCUUGCGAGGUUGACGGUACCCGAUGAAUAAGCACCGGCUAACUCCGUGCCAGCAGCCGCGGUAAUACGGAGGGUGCAAGCGUUAUCCGGAUUCACUGGGUUUAAAGGGAGCGUAGGUGGGGCGGUAAGUCAGUGGUGAAAUCUCCGGGCUUAACUCGGAAACUGCCGUUGAUACUAACGUUCUUGAAUAUUGUGGAGGUAAGCGGAAUAUGUCAUGUAGCGGUGAAAUGCUUAGAUAUGACAUAGAACACCGAUAGCGAAGGCAGCUUGCUACACAAUUAUUGACACUGAGGCUCGAAAGCGUGGGGAUCAAACAGGAUUAGAUACCCUGGUAGUCCACGCCCUAAACGAUGGAUACUCGACAUACGCGAUACACAGUGUGUGUCUGAGCGAAAGCAUUAAGUAUCCCACCUGGGAAGUACGACCGCAA
RNAcentral lists this ribosomal RNA (850 nucleotides) under uncultured bacterium. RNAcentral's name for it is "bacterial SSU rRNA". It matches the Rfam family "Bacterial small subunit ribosomal RNA", at positions 45 to 891 of the family's 1533-position model. The record is from RNAcentral.